RNAcentral lists this unclassified non-coding RNA (383 nucleotides) under uncultured bacterium. Its description in RNAcentral is "contains 16S-23S intergenic spacer region". The record is from RNAcentral.
UCCGAGUUGACCCCGGCAGUCUCCCAUGAGUCCCCGCCAUUACGCGCUGGCAACAUGGAACGAGGGUUGCGCUCGUUGCGGGACUUAACCCAACAUCUCACGACACGAGCUGGCGACAGCCAUACAGCACCUGUGUGGGAUCCAGCCGAACUGAAGGGUCACAUCUCUGUAACCCAGAAUCCCCAUGUCAAGGGCUGGUAAGGUUCUUCGCGUUGCUUCGAAUUAAACCACAUGCUCCACCGCUUGUGCGGGCCCCCGUCAAUUCCUUUGAGUUUCAACCUUGCGGUCGUACUCCCCAGGCGGGGUACUUCCUGCGUUAGCGCCGGCACCCAGAGGGUCGCUCCCCCAGGCACCUAGUACCCAUCGUUUACGGCGUGGACUAC